AAAACGUCCGUAGUCGAAUUUACACCUGGUGCCUGAACCGCCGGUUCUUCAUUGAGCUGGAUUGGUUUCAGGCCCGGUGAUAAAGUCUGGUCUAUAGCUUGGUUGGCUUCGGUCGGCUGAGUUCCCAGGUCAGGCGUAUUACCAUGAGCAAAUCAGAAUGCUCAAAGUAGGCCUACACGCCUGAAUGUGUUAGCAUGGAAUAAUAAAAUAGGACUCGAGUCUUGUUUUGUUGGUUUACCUGACAUUGAGAAAUGAUGAAUAGGAACGGUUGGGGGCAUUUGUAUUUGGCCGCUAGAGGUGAAAUUCUUGGAUUGGCCGAAGACAAACUACUGCGAAAGCAUUUGACCCAGGACGUUUUCAUUGAUCAGGGACUAAAGUUGAGGGAUCGAAGACGAUUCCCGGGGUUUUUUGUCGUCUGGAUAUAAUCCUUGAGUUCUACGCGUAUUUUACGCCAAAAAGAAAAGAAAAAGUAAAUUUCAUGGAGCAUAACAAACUUUUCU
This 500-nucleotide non-coding RNA is filed under the name Absidia repens. Its description in RNAcentral is "Eukaryotic small subunit ribosomal RNA". It matches the Rfam family "Eukaryotic small subunit ribosomal RNA", at positions 621 to 1111 of the family's 1831-position model. Lineage: Eukaryota; Fungi; Mucoromycota; Mucoromycetes; Mucorales; Cunninghamellaceae. The record is from Rfam by way of RNAcentral.